UACGGAGGGUGCGAACGUUAAUCGGAAUUACUGGGCGUAAAGCGCGCGUAGGUGGCUUGAUAAGCCAGUUGUGAAAGCCCCGGGCUCAACCUGGGAACGGCAUCCGGAACUGUCAAGCUAGAGUGCAGGAGAGGAAGGUAGAAUUCCCGGUGUAGCGGUGAAAUGCGUAGAGAUCGGGAGGAAUACCAGUGGCGAAGGCGGCCCUCUGGACUGACACUGACACUGAGGUGCGAAAGCGUGGGUAGCAAACAGG
This 253-nucleotide ribosomal RNA is filed under the name uncultured bacterium. Its description in RNAcentral is "partial 16S ribosomal RNA". It matches the Rfam family "Bacterial small subunit ribosomal RNA", at positions 524 to 776 of the family's 1533-position model. The record is from RNAcentral.